CCGGCGACCGGCGCACGGGUGGAGUAACACGUAUGGAACCUGCCCGCAGCAGGGGGAUAAGCGGAAGAAAUUCCGUCUAAUACCGCGUAACAACGUUGGGAGGCAUCUCCCGAUGUUUAAAGAUUUAUCGGCUGCGGAUGGCCAUGCGGCGCAUUAGCUAGUCGGCGGGGUAACGGCCCACCGAGGCGACGAUGCGUAGGGGUUCUGAGAGGAAGGUCCCCCACACUGGUACUGAGACACGGACCAGACUCCUACGGAAGGCAGCAG
This 267-nucleotide ribosomal RNA is filed under the name uncultured bacterium. RNAcentral's name for it is "partial 16S ribosomal RNA". It matches the Rfam family "Bacterial small subunit ribosomal RNA", at positions 88 to 354 of the family's 1533-position model. The record is from RNAcentral.